UGGGGGAUAGCCCGGCGAAAGCCGGAUUAAUACCGCAUACGAUCUACGGAAGAAAGCGGGGGAUCGCAAGACCUCGCGCUAUAGGGGCGGCCGAUGGCAGAUUAGCUAGUUGGUGGGGUAAAGGCCUACCAAGGCGACGAUCUGUAGCUGGUCUGAGAGGACGACCAGCCACACUGGGACUGAGACACGGCCCAGACUCCUACGGGAGGCAGCAGUGGGGAAUUUUGGACAAUGGGGGAAACCCUGAUCCAGCAAUGCCGCGUGUGUGAAGAAGGCCUUCGGGUUGUAAAGCACUUUUGUCCGGAAAGAAAACUUCCUGGUUAAUACCUGGGGAGGAUGACGGUACCGGAAGAAUAAGCACCGGCUAACUACGUGCCAGCAGCCGCGGUAAUACGUAGGGUGCGAGCGUUAAUCGGAAUUACUGGGCGUAAAGCGUGCGCAGGCGGUUCGUUAAGACAGAUGUGAAAUCCCCGGGCUUAACCUGGGAACUGCACUUGUGACUGGCGAGCCAGAGUAUGGCAGAGGGGGGUAGAAUUCCACGUGUAGCAGUGAAAUGCGUAGAGAUGUGGAGGAAUACCGAUGGCGAAAGCAGCCCCCUGGGCCAAUACUGACGCUCAUGCACGAAAGCGUGGGGAGCAAACAGGAUUAGAUACCCUGGUAGUCCACGCCCUAAACGAUGUCAACUAGUUGUUGGGGAUUCAUUUCCUUUAGUAACGUAGCUAACGCGUGAAGUUGACCGCCUGGGGAGUACGGUCGCAAGAUUAAAACUCAAAGGAAUUGACGGGGACCCGCACAAGCGGUGGAUGAUGUGGAUUAAUUCGAUGCAACGCGAAAAACCUUACCUACCCUUGACAUGGUCGGAACCCUGCUGAAAGGUGGGGGUGCUCGAAAGAGAACCGAUACACAGGUGCUGCAUGGCUGUCGUCAGCUCGUGUCGUGAGAUGUUGGGUUAAGUCCCGCAACGAGCGCAACCCUUGUCCUUAGUUGCUACGCAAGAGCACUCUAAGGAGACUGCCGGUGACAAACCGGAGGAAGGUGGGGAUGACGUCAAGUCCUCAUGGCCCUUAUGGGUAGGGCUUCACACGUCAUACAAUGGUCGGAACAGAGGGCUGCCAACCCGUGAGGGGGAGCUAAUCCCAGAAAACCGAUCGUAGUCCGGAUCGCAGUCUGCAACUCGACUGCGUGAAGCUGGAAUCGCUAGUAAUCGCGGAUCAGCAUGCCGCAGUGAAUACGUUCCCGGGUCUUGUACACACCGCCCGUCACACCAUGGGAGUGGGUUUUACCAGAAGUGGCUAGUCUAACCGCAA
This 1307-nucleotide ribosomal RNA is filed under the name uncultured Burkholderia sp. RNAcentral describes it as "partial 16S ribosomal RNA". It matches the Rfam family "Bacterial small subunit ribosomal RNA", at positions 137 to 1444 of the family's 1533-position model. The record is from RNAcentral. Lineage: Bacteria; Pseudomonadati; Pseudomonadota; Betaproteobacteria; Burkholderiales; Burkholderiaceae.